Molecule: ribosomal RNA, 210 nt
Filed under: uncultured Pseudomonas sp.
Lineage: Bacteria; Pseudomonadati; Pseudomonadota; Gammaproteobacteria; Pseudomonadales; Pseudomonadaceae
Description: partial 16S ribosomal RNA
Rfam family: Bacterial small subunit ribosomal RNA
Source: RNAcentral
CAACGUUUCUAAAGGAACGCUAAUACCGCAUACGUCCUACGGGNGAAAGCAGGGGACCUUCGGGCCUUGCGCUAUCAGAUGAGCCUAGGUCGGAUUAGCUAGUUGGUGAGGUAAUGGCUCACCAAGGCGACGAUCCGUAACUGGUCUGAGAGGAUGAUCAGUCACACUGGAACUGAGACACGGUCCAGACUCCUACGGGAGGCAGCAGCG